Molecule: ribosomal RNA, 467 nt
Filed under: uncultured bacterium
Lineage: Bacteria
Description: partial 16S ribosomal RNA
Rfam family: Bacterial small subunit ribosomal RNA
Source: RNAcentral
GACGAACGCUGGCGGCGUGCUUAACACAUGCAAGUCGAACGGAAAGGCCUCUUUCGGGGGGUACUCGAGUGGCGAACGGGUGAGUAACACGUGAGUAACCUGCCCUUGACUUUGGGAUAACUUCAGGAAACUGGGGCUAAUACAGGAUAGGAGCUCCUGCUGCAUGGUGGGGGUUGGAAAGUUUCGGCGGUUGGGGAUGGACUCGCGGCUUAUCAGCUUGUUGGUGGGGUAGUGGCUUACCAAGGCUUUGACGGGUAGCCGGCCUGAGAGGGUGACCGGCCACAUUGGGACUGAGAUACGGCCCAGACUCCUACGGGAGGCAGCAGUGGGGAAUAUUGCACAAUGGGUGGAAGCCUGAUGCAGCAACGCCGUGUGCGGGAUGACGGCCUUCGGGUUGUAAACCGCUUUCGCUCAUGACGAAGCUUUGUGUGACGGUAGUGGGUAAAGAAGCACCGGCUAACUACGUG